GGCAUCGGCCGUUGGCCCCUGGGAGAAGAGCUUUUCUACAUCCCUCAGAUCACAUCAGGUUUGGUGGCUGCCUACCAUUGGUGACCCUUUCCUCAUUCACAACGUAGUGAAAGUUCAAAGCUUGGGGACACCCGGAAUGAGGGAAGAAAGAGGAGAACAGAGAAGGAGAAGCAGCAAAUGCUACCCGAGCCCUCAUGGGACAAGAAACACGAACAACAUAUCCGAGGUACCUGCAGCUUCUUGUAACCAGGAGGAGGUCGGUUUGGUCUGCCUGGGGCAUGGUACUGUGGAAGUGCACUCAGCAUCAGCCAAUCAUUGCUCAGGCCGUCCCUCAACAUUCGAUUUAGCUUAUAAUAGCAGGAAAAGAAAAUGGUGAACCAAUCCAGUAUUUUUGAAGGGAAAUCAGUCUAGAAAGCUGUGAAGCGGAUUGGCAAAGUAUCUGAAGUUCUUUGGAAAGCAAGUGUUAAAGAAAGCCCAGAUUCAUUUUGGAAGAAUCCUUAUCAAUCAGUAGAAUUGUCUCAAACCAAACUCAAAUCAACAUUGUUACUGCUACUGGAAAAGGACCAUUUGGAAACAAAGGAGAUAUGAGCCUCAGUAAAAACAAGUGGAUACUUGAACACUUCUGAAAAUGAGGAUGCAAGUAGGGACUUAAGAAGAUUGACUAUUGUUUACAUCAUCAGAAGGAGUCAUUUAGAGUUGGA
Gracilinanus agilis (Agile Gracile Mouse Opossum) is the source of this 701-nucleotide long non-coding RNA. RefSeq lists it as uncharacterized. The record is from RefSeq and is a predicted model, not a curated record. The transcript has 5 exons. NCBI's taxonomy places the organism in Eukaryota, Metazoa, Chordata, Mammalia, Didelphimorphia, Didelphidae.